Molecule: long non-coding RNA, 125 nt
Organism: Haliotis rubra (blacklip abalone)
Lineage: Eukaryota; Metazoa; Mollusca; Gastropoda; Lepetellida; Haliotidae
Exons: 3
Source: RefSeq, a predicted model, not a curated record
GUUGUGGGGCAGGACUGAAGUCCAAGAAACUCUCAGGAGUCAAGCUGCCUAACGCGGUCACCCAUCCCAGGACUCUCUGCGCUCAAUGUUGCUUAAUUUCAAAUGAUUUAUGAUUUAAAUGUCAA